Non-coding RNA from Odocoileus virginianus texanus, 1661 nucleotides. The record is from RefSeq and is a predicted model, not a curated record. NCBI's taxonomy places the organism in Eukaryota, Metazoa, Chordata, Mammalia, Artiodactyla, Cervidae.
GAGUAUAGGCCUUUGCAUAAUGUGGUGAAAUAAUCUCUUUUGAUGGAGCUGUUUAAGUGUUGUAUCGCAACCUCUCUCCUUACGACACAGGGAGAAACGUGAUUUCCUCAUUCCUUUGCCUCGAGUCUGGAGAGGUCCAGUCCAGAAUCAAUAUGCAUUUCUUGGAGUUUGUGGGUGCAGUGAAAUGGCAUUUGAAUUAUGCUUGGGAAUAUUCCAAACUAUGAGAUUAACCAACUAGCCGCCUUGUAACUGCAGAGGAAAGACGGCAGAAGUGAGUGUAGUGUGCGUCGUUUGCGGUGGUGGGUCCAAGGGGCGAACUUGUCUCCAUAGCAGCUGUAGAACCUAUGAUGAGAUUGAGGGGUGCCAGUGGGCUAAGGGGAGGGUCAGUCAUAGGAGACGCAGUGUCCACACCGUGGGAAGCACAGUUGCAUGUUUCCGGUAGAUUUCCGAGGAGUCAACAUCAAAUGUUCACUUGUAGCACAUCAUAACAUUAUACUCAGGGGGACCGUCAUUUAGUAUCAAAGACUUCCCAUGGAUAUUUCUCAACCCCAAGUGGGAUAAUCAAUGGAAAAUACGACUUCUGUUCUGCCCUUUACCCUGGAGUCCUCUGCUCUGUUACCCAGAAGUCACACACAUAGGAAAAGCGUGCAUUCCUCCCCAGAUUUGUGAGGAAUCUGAAUUCUAAUCAUCUCCCCUCUCCAGGAAUUACAAAUAUGGCAGUAGCUACAUGAAUGAGUUUUACAGUUUCCAAACAUCUGCAUCUCCAUUUGCUUAUGUCUGAAACCCAGUCCUUCCUGAAUACCCUCGAGCGUCUUCCACAGAUCUUCUUAGCUUCUGCACUUGAGGGAUCCUAAGUCAAGGACCCAUCUCUUCAAUUUCCCCACGAUCCAGGAAAUAAGAGUUAAUGUCAGGAAGGCCAGGGGCUUCGAGAAUUCAGCGAUCUGCUUUGUUCCUGACAGCAGCUGUUGCAGAGGCCUGCUCCUCUUUCUACAUCUCUGCCUCAAGCUUCUCAGGAGGGCUAGGAGACAGGGACACACACAUACACUCAUCGUUCUGAGUACGUGCUGUGGAAGCAGAACCGAUGACAAGGCCAAGUGUGAAGCCGCUCUAGUAGGUGCUGCCAAACGGUGACCCCAGGCAGCUCUGGUGGAUUCUUCACCACUGGCGCCACCUGGAUGCUGAAGCAAACCAAGGGAUCUGUAUUUUGAUGUUUUCUACGAGGUUGCAUGGAUAUUUAACCACAUUACAACCUAGUUUAGGAAAAAUCUACAUUCUUAAAUAAUAUUGCAGAAGAGCUUAGUUAAAGAGUUGCAGUUCUUCAACUAGUCCUCAAAAUACACAUUACGCUUAUAUGUUGCAAGAACAUUGCACCAUUUUGAAAGAAUCACAAAACAAAGUAUCCAUUUCAUUUCGGUUUCGUCCAGAAUAAAGAUGAAGAUUUCUUCCUGAUCACUGAGCCUUUGCUAUUUGCUUCUGACUUUGUUCUCCAACUGACAGCAAGUAUAAAUAUGAUGUCAGAGAGAUGAUAAUAAGCAUUUAAUUAGAGCACUAUCAAAGUACUAAAGUAUUCAAGCGAUGUGAAUAGACAUGUUUUUAUCAUCUUUUAGACGCUUGUGAUCAUUUGGGAAAUUUUACUUGUCAUUAUUAAAUAACUAAUUGUA